CUUGUUGCUGCAGAAAGGUACAGCAGUUAGCUAACGUUAGCAGUCAGAGAUUGCUCUGUCAGAGACGAUAAACUGCUGCUUAGGUGUAUCUGUGCUACCUGCAGAAAUGAAGAUGUUCCAAGUCUUCUGUUCAUAUUCUUGAUUUUCCAACAUGACAAAAGUUUUUCUCCAUGAAAAUCCAAUCAAGAGACUUUACAAAUUCAAAAUGUUUAACUGCUGAAAGCGGUUAAGCAAAAGGCAUUCAAAAGAAUCUCCAAAUCAGCAAAAGUUGUU
RNAcentral lists this long non-coding RNA (273 nucleotides) under Astyanax mexicanus (Mexican tetra). RNAcentral's name for it is "lncRNA (ENSAMXG00005004812.1)". Lineage: Eukaryota; Metazoa; Chordata; Actinopteri; Characiformes; Acestrorhamphidae. The record is from RNAcentral.